CCUACGGGUGGCAGCAGUGGGGAAUUUUGGACAAUGGGGGCAACCCUGAUCCAGCCAUGCCGCGUGAGUGAAGAAGGCCUUCGGGUUGUAAAGCUCUUUCGGACGGGAAGAAAUCGCGCGCUCUAACAUAGCGUGCGGAUGACGGUACCGUAAGAAGAAGCACCGGCUAACUACGUGCCAGCAGCCGCGGUAAUACGUAGGGUGCGAGCGUUAAUCGGAAUUACUGGGCGUAAAGCGUGCGCAGGCGGAUGGAUAAGACAGAUGUGAAAUCCCCGGGCUUAACCUGGGAAUGGCGUUUGUGACUGUUCAUCUCGAGUACGGCAGAGGGAGGCGGAAUUCCACGUGUAGCAGUGAAAUGCGUAGAGAUGUGGAGGAACACCGAUGGCGAAGGCAGCCUCCUGGGCCGAUACUGACGCUCAUGCACGAAAGCGUGGGGAGCAAACAGGAUUAGAUACCCUGGUAGUC
This 465-nucleotide ribosomal RNA is filed under the name uncultured bacterium. RNAcentral's name for it is "bacterial SSU rRNA". It matches the Rfam family "Bacterial small subunit ribosomal RNA", at positions 338 to 795 of the family's 1533-position model. The record is from RNAcentral.